CGAGCGGACCGACGGGAGCUUGCUCCCUUAGGUCAGCGGCGGACGGGUGAGUAACACGUGGGUAACCUGCCUGUAAGACUGGGAUAACUCCGGGAAACCGGGGCUAAUACCGGAUGCUUGAUUGAACCGCAUGGUUCAAUCAUAAAAGGUGGCUUUCAGCUACCACUUACAGAUGGACCCGCGGCGCAUUAGCUAGUUGGUGAGGUAACGGCUCACCAAGGCGACGAUGCGUAGCCGACCUGAGAGGGUGAUCGGCCACACUGGGACUGAGACACGGCCCAGACUCCUACGGGAGGCAGCAGUAGGGAAUCUUCCGCAAUGGACGAAAGUCUGACGGAGCAACGCCGCGUGAGUGAUGAAGGUUUUCGGAUCGUAAAACUCUGUUGUUAGGGAAGAACAAGUACCGUUCGAAUAGGGCGGCACCUUGACGGUACCUAACCAGAAAGCCACGGCUAACUACGUGCCAGCAGCCGCGGUAAUACGUAGGUGGCAAGCGUUGUCCGGAAUUAUUGGGCGUAAAGCGCGCGCAGGCGGUUUCUUAAGUCUGAUGUGAAAGCCCCCGGCUCAACCGGGGAGGGUCAUUGGAAACUGGGGAACUUGAGUGCAGAAGAGGAGAGUGGAAUUCCACGUGUAGCGGUGAAAUGCGUAGAGAUGUGGAGGAACACCAGUGGCGAAGGCGACUCUCUGGUCUGUAACUGACGCUGAGGC
RNAcentral lists this ribosomal RNA (708 nucleotides) under uncultured Bacilli bacterium. Its description in RNAcentral is "bacterial SSU rRNA". It matches the Rfam family "Bacterial small subunit ribosomal RNA", at positions 63 to 752 of the family's 1533-position model. Lineage: Bacteria; Bacillati; Bacillota; Bacilli. The record is from RNAcentral.